GUGGUCCAGAAACGCAGAGGAGGCAGAGCUGCAAACAGGAGCAGAGAUGGGAAGGGAGACAAGCACUGCCCAGGCCACUGUGAUCUACCCAGGCCCUAACAAGCCAUGCUGUUGCCCAGCCUUUGCCUAGUACUCCCUCUGUCUACGAUGCCCUCCCUGCCCUUCUUCUCCAAGUCUUACAGGGCUCGAGAAUUCUAUCAUGUAUUACAAUAAAAUCCACACUCCUUCCCUGGCCCCUGGCCCUAGAGCACUCAUCUCUUGCCACCCCCCUAGCACUCACUAGGGUCUGGCCACAUCAACUGUCUUAGUCUGUUUUCUGUUGCGUAUAGCUGAAUACCUGAAACUGGGUAAUUUAUAAAGAAAAGAAACGUAUUUCUUACAGUUAUGGAAGCCAAGACAUCCAGGUCGAGGGGCCAAGCUGGUGAGAGCUUCUUGCUGCUGGGGACUCUCCACAGAAUCUUCAUGGCAGUGCAGAGCAUCACAUGGAACACUCUACAUUAAGGACCCACAGCAGGGGAAAGAGCUUGGCCUAUUUGAAGUAAAGAAGAAUGGCACCAGAAGAGCAUGAGAAAGUGAGAGGGGAGGGGCCAGCAGGGCCAGGUCUCCCGGAGCCUUCCAUGUGGACAGGACUGGGUUUUAUUCCAAGCUGGCCUCUGGAGUUAAGCAAGUGAGAGGUCUCUGCAUGAGUUGAUCCAACUGCCUGGAUUCUCCUUUCUCCUCUUCUCCAUCCUCAAAAUGCCACCCUCCAAUUCUUCAGGAUCCAGUUUAAUAAUAUUUUUGUGCAGAAAAAUGAAAAAAUAUAGUUGUAUUUACAACUCUAUUUAAUGAAAGCAAGAAGAAGACUCCAACGAUGAUGUCCUCUGUCUUCUUUUAUACUUUCUCGAGAGAUGAAAGUAUACUUUUAUACUUUGGGCAAUAUGAUAAAAAAAAACGGAAGGAUGAUGCAAUAGUGAUCAUUUGUUUCAUUGUUGCCUCAUCCUUCCAGGUGAUUGCAUCAUUCUCCCAUUUUCUUGUUAGUUUUUUUAAUGAUAAUUGGCAAUAAUUGAUGAGUAAUGAUGAAAUAAUUUCUAGGGUGAUAA
Callithrix jacchus (white-tufted-ear marmoset) is the source of this 1079-nucleotide long non-coding RNA. RefSeq lists it as uncharacterized. Lineage: Eukaryota; Metazoa; Chordata; Mammalia; Primates; Cebidae. The record is from RefSeq and is a predicted model, not a curated record.